CGGACGGGUGAGUAAUGUCUGGGAAACUGCCUGAUGGAGGGGGAUAACUACUGGAAACGGUAGCUAAUACCGCAUAACGUCGCAAGACCAAAGAGGGGACCUUCGGGCCUCUUGCCAUCAGAUGUGCCCAGAUGGGAUUAGCUAGUAGGUGGGGUAACGGCUCACCUAGGCGACGAUCCCUAGCUGGUCUGAGAGGAUGACCAGCCACACUGGAACUGAGACACGGUCCAG
RNAcentral lists this ribosomal RNA (231 nucleotides) under uncultured Enterobacterales bacterium. RNAcentral describes it as "partial 16S ribosomal RNA". It matches the Rfam family "Bacterial small subunit ribosomal RNA", at positions 99 to 334 of the family's 1533-position model. The record is from RNAcentral. Lineage: Bacteria; Pseudomonadati; Pseudomonadota; Gammaproteobacteria; Enterobacterales.